Molecule: ribosomal RNA, 253 nt
Filed under: uncultured bacterium
Lineage: Bacteria
Description: partial 16S ribosomal RNA
Rfam family: Bacterial small subunit ribosomal RNA
Source: RNAcentral
CACGUAGGGCGCGAGCGUUGUCCGGAAUUAUUGGGCGUAAAGAGCUCGUAGGCGGCCUGUUGCGUCCGCUGUGAAAGCCCGGGGCUUAACCCCGGGUCGGCAGUGGAUACGGGCAGGCUAGAGGUAGGUAGGGGAGAAUGGAAUUCCCGGUGUAGCGGUGAAAUGCGCAGAUAUCGGGAGGAACACCGGUGGCGAAGGCGGUUCUCUGGGCCUUACCUGACGCUGAGGAGCGAAAGCGCGGGGAGCGAACAGG